ACAACGAUAGCUCAGUGGCAGAGCGGUGGGGCGUUUACCCAUGCGGCCCGGGUUCGAUUCCCGGUCGAUGUA
Non-coding RNA from Phthorimaea operculella (potato tuberworm), 72 nucleotides. NCBI's taxonomy places the organism in Eukaryota, Metazoa, Arthropoda, Insecta, Lepidoptera, Gelechiidae. The record is from the annotation of a GenBank genome assembly.